UUGAGCUACACAGCAGUCCUGGGCAGUGGGGAGUGGUGAGCUCCAUUGUGUACACUUGGAAGCAGCCCAGAAAGGUGAAGACCUGUUCGUGAACUCCAGAGGCCAUUGGAAGCAUGGAAGGCUAUGGCUGGCACUCUUCCUCUUUUUCCAGUUCACUGAGGCAGAUGGGAGGCCCGGAGGAGAAAGAAUGAAGGAAGGCAUUUCAGCCCGAGUAAACUCCCCAGGCCCGCUCUGUGCCAGGCAGUGUUGCAAGCCUCGGGUAGGGUGGUGAGCAAAGCAGAUGGCCCUGCCCUCACUCAGCAACCAGUGUAGGGGAGCUGCCACGGUUACCAGCAAAAGCUGAAAUCCAGCGCCAUUUGCAUUUCAUAUGGAAUUUUAGGAAGUUUUCGAGAUGUUUUAGUUUAGAAGCUAAACAUGACAUACCAGGUUCUUCUCUGUCUGGCCUUGCAUACCUAUCCAGUUCCCUCUCCAUUCAUCUCUGCCCUGACAUGCACUCAGGAGGCUCCCUGGGCCUCAGCAUUCCUCAUUUGCGCGCCUCUGGUCAAGCUAGUACCUCUGAAUGCCCUUUCCCAUCCCCUUCUCAGAGUUCACCUCACACAUUCCGAAGCCAGCUCAGGGCCACCUCUGAAACAUUUAGAGCACUCCCCUGCCCAUCCAGAUGCUCAUUAAAUAGUGUGCAUCUCUGUCACCGUUCUUUCAUGUUAUUUUAUAAUUGUCUCUUUAUGUGUCUCUCACCCCCACAGACUGAGCCUUAGGGCAAACAAUGUCUUGUUCACUUUUGUCCUUCCAGCUUCUAGCACGGUGCUUUGUGCACAGUAAACACUCCAGCGGCUGUUGACCAAUGAAUGAAUGAAGAUUGUAGGCUCAAAUAUUCAAGUUAUCAAAGUGCAAAGAAUGAGAGGUUGUUUGCACUGGACUUCAAAAAUAAAUAGCCUGGACCUGUACUGUCUUACACAACAGCUAUGAGCUACUGGUGGCUACUAGAAAAUUUAAAAUUACAGAUUUGUCUUGUAUUACAUCUCUAGAAGCUCCAACCAACAGGGGGACAGUGAAGUAUGAAGAGGAAAGCCAAUGUGAAAAAUGCCUCUCCCCGAUUCUGUCUGACUCUGUUAAAGAGGGCUUUGCUUUAGAAGCUUAACCAUUCUGAUUAUUUUGGGGGUGUGAGGUAAUCUGGAAAGUAAAAUUUACCUAAAAAUUAACUGAAGAGUGUUGUGUAGGAGAAACAGUGGAAAUUACUGGUUAAUCAGAAUAGUUUUAUACUUGGGAAGAGAAGGAUGGAGUCCCAGAAAGUAGAUACAACUGAUCUUUAGGAAACAACUCCCAAAAAAGGAAAGGAAUAAAAAAGUACUCAGGCUGGGUGUGGUGGUUCAUGCCUGUAAUCUCAGCACUUUGAGAGGCCAAGAGGGGCAGAUUGCUUGAGCCCAAGAAUUCAAGACAAGCCUGGGCAACAUAGCAAGACCCUGUCUCUAAAAAAAAAAAAAAAAGAAUAAAAAAAAAAGCUGGGCAUUGUGGCAUGCACUUGUAGUCUCAACUACUCAGGAGGUUGAGGUGGGAGGACCGAUCACUUGAGCCUGGGAGGUCAAGGCUGCAGUGAGCCAUGAUCACGCCACUGCAUACUAGUGUUAGCAACAGGCUGUCUCAACAACAAAAAAGUGAAAAAGUACUCAGAACAAUUGUUUAUUCAGUGUGCACGUUUCUCAUUCUCUCUUCCUGCCUACCCUCCUCAUAUUUCUGAUUCUUCUUUUCUGUCUCCCCAAACUCUAAUCCUUUGGGUUGCUUUUAUCCAGGUAAGGAAAGCAGUCACUUGAGUUGAGCCAAUCAAUUAAUUAAUUUUUUAAGUUAACAUAUAGUAAAACUGCUUAAUCUUUGUACAGCUGAUGAAUUUUAGCAUGAUGAGGAUUCCUGUAACUACUACCACAAUGAGGAUACAGAAUAGUUCCACCACCCCAAAAAACUCCCUCUGCUGCCCCUUUGUAGUCAUACUCUCCCCUACCUCCUAGCCCCUGGCAAUCAUUGCCCUGUUCUGUCACUAUAGUUUUGUUUUUUUUCCAGAAGGUCAUAUGAAUGGAAUCAUAUGAUAUAUAACCUUGGACCUACUAAUUUUUGCUGGAGUCAAAGCAGCUUCCUUUGUCAGGGAAUCUAUUCAUAUUAUACAUUACUUACAGAGUUGAUGGAGCAUGCAGACAGUCAGAAUGCUUAGGAAUAGGAUGUUCUGGGCAAGAACUUUUCAGGUUAACUAGGUAAACCCCUUUUAUAGUUUGACCACGUAGCAAUCUUUCUACAAUGUGAGCCUCUAUUUCUUUCUUAAUAAAUAGAGUGUAAAGAACAGUUUUUUUUUUCUUCAGUAAAGGAGCAUGAUAAAUACCA
RNAcentral lists this long non-coding RNA (2367 nucleotides) under Homo sapiens (human). RNAcentral's name for it is "HSALNT0292284". Lineage: Eukaryota; Metazoa; Chordata; Mammalia; Primates; Hominidae. The record is from RNAcentral.